RNAcentral lists this ribosomal RNA (1349 nucleotides) under Curtobacterium sp. Its description in RNAcentral is "bacterial SSU rRNA". It matches the Rfam family "Bacterial small subunit ribosomal RNA", at positions 71 to 1430 of the family's 1533-position model. The record is from RNAcentral. Lineage: Bacteria; Bacillati; Actinomycetota; Actinomycetes; Micrococcales; Microbacteriaceae.
AUGCCCAGCUUGCUGGGUGGAUUAGUGGCGAACGGGUGAGUAACACGUGAGUAACCUGCCCCUGACUCUGGGAUAAGCGUUGGAAACGACGUCUAAUACUGGAUAUGAUCACUGGCCGCAUGGUCUGGUGGUGGAAAGAUUUUUUGGUUGGGGAUGGACUCGCGGCCUAUCAGCUUGUUGGUGAGGUAAUGGCUCACCAAGGCGACGACGGGUAGCCGGCCUGAGAGGGUGACCGGCCACACUGGGACUGAGACACGGCCCAGACUCCUACGGGAGGCAGCAGUGGGGAAUAUUGCACAAUGGGCGAAAGCCUGAUGCAGCAACGCCGCGUGAGGGAUGACGGCCUUCGGGUUGUAAACCUCUUUUAGUAGGGAAGAAGCGAAAGUGACGGUACCUGCAGAAAAAGCACCGGCUAACUACGUGCCAGCAGCCGCGGUAAUACGUAGGGUGCAAGCGUUGUCCGGAAUUAUUGGGCGUAAAGAGCUCGUAGGCGGUUUGUCGCGUCUGCUGUGAAAUCCCGAGGCUCAACCUCGGGCUUGCAGUGGGUACGGGCAGACUAGAGUGCGGUAGGGGAGAUUGGAAUUCCUGGUGUAGCGGUGGAAUGCGCAGAUAUCAGGAGGAACACCGAUGGCGAAGGCAGAUCUCUGGGCCGUAACUGACGCUGAGGAGCGAAAGCAUGGGGAGCGAACAGGAUUAGAUACCCUGGUAGUCCAUGCCGUAAACGUUGGGCGCUAGAUGUAGGGACCUUUCCACGGUUUCUGUGUCGUAGCUAACGCAUUAAGCGCCCCGCCUGGGGAGUACGGCCGCAAGGCUAAAACUCAAAGGAAUUGACGGGGGNCCCGCACAAGCGGNCGGAGCAUGCGGAUUAAUUCGAUGCAACGCGAAGAACCUUACCAAGGCUUGACAUACACCGGAAACGGCCAGAGAUGGUCGCCCCCUUGUGGUCGGUGUACAGGUGGUGCAUGGUUGUCGUCAGCUCGUGUCGUGAGAUGUUGGGUUAAGUCCCGCAACGAGCGCAACCCUCGUUCUAUGUUGCCAGCGGGUUAUGCCGGGGACUCAUAGGAGACUGCCGGGGUCAACUCGGAGGAAGGUGGGGAUGACGUCAAAUCAUCAUGCCCCUUAUGUCUUGGGCUUCACGCAUGCUACAAUGGCCGGUACAAAGGGCUGCGAUACCGUAAGGUGGAGCGAAUCCCAAAAAGCCGGUCUCAGUUCGGAUUGAGGUCUGCAACUCGACCUCAUGAAGUCGGAGUCGCUAGUAAUCGCAGAUCAGCAACGCUGCGGUGAAUACGUUCCCGGGCCUUGUACACACCGCCCGUCAAGUCAUGAAAGUCGGUAACACCCGAAGCCGG